UCUCAACCCCAAACCAGCUUCUUUAGAG
This 28-nucleotide non-coding RNA is filed under the name Homo sapiens (human). Lineage: Eukaryota; Metazoa; Chordata; Mammalia; Primates; Hominidae. The record is from RNAcentral.